Molecule: long non-coding RNA, 632 nt
Filed under: Nicotiana benthamiana
Lineage: Eukaryota; Viridiplantae; Streptophyta; Magnoliopsida; Solanales; Solanaceae
Description: long non-coding RNA (NBEN_LNC003170)
Source: RNAcentral
GGAAAAGAAAAUUAUCGUCACACAAAACAAACUAAAUAAACUUCCAAAAUUAUAUUGAGCAAACUAAUGAGAUAUAGGAAGAGAAUAGACCUCAAUGAAUCUGAAAUUGAAAUGAACAACAGCCUUGAAACGCAAAAAUGUAACGAACUGCGGAAGGGAAUUCGAAUCGGCACCCGAAAGACUCGAAACAAAACGAUGUCAAUCAAACUCCAUCGUGUUCCAUGGUUUAAAAAAUCAGAAGCAGAAGAUAAACUAACUAUGAAAAGAAAAUCACCGUAAUCACUUCGAACAACUGCAUCUUAAUCGAAAUCGAACCAACGAACUCAAACCAACAAACUCAAACGAGUUCCAUAACAAACCUGGAGUCGAAAUUAAAAGAAGAAGAUUUAAACUCAUUUUUUUGCUUGAUUUUCUGGUAUUUGUUUCCACACUCUGUUUUUUUUUUUUUUUUGAGUUUUCUAUUCUUCUCUAUGUGUGUACGUUAAUGAGAGACGAAGGAACUAUGAGGGGUGGUUGUCCAUAUAAAUCAACUGCUGGGGUCUGGCGGAUAUGGAAGCGGCUGUUACAACUCGUCUUCCGACGAGAUAAGUGGAAGCCGGUGAGUUGGGGCUGCUGUGAGGUGAUGACUGAUC